AGACGAUUUAGCCAAUCAGAUGUUGCCUCAGCAUGACGCGUCAUUUAAAAACGGAACGGAAGUGACGGUUCGUCAGACAGUCAAAAGAAAAAAAAACUACAGUACUCGACGUCGAGGCUUAUUAAAGAAUAAUAACGUUUAGCAUCUGAGUGAGGAUGGUGGAAAGCUGUUAAUCCUCCCAGAGAAAGGAUAUCAAUCUGCUGUCGUGCUGGCAAACUACUUGCAACGCUUCAGCCUGAUGUUUGUCAGCGGAUGAACGGCCAAGUAGUUUACACCAAAAUGGGAUGGCAGGAAGCUUAUAUCCACUUACUGUCCUGAUGGCCAACUGUUUGGUUUGUGAGGUUUGUAAUAUCGGAGGAAUUGCAAUGUUAAGUCCUGCAAUUGUUAACAUAGCCAUUUAUGAAAUAAAGUAUUUGUAACUGAAUGGUAUUAAAUGUGUUCCACGUUUACAAAUGGACAAAUUAGGUCCUGUCCACACGGGAAAGCUUUUAGGUGGAAAGGGUAAAGUUUGUUUUAACCUUUCAUUCAUGCGGAAACGGCGUUAUGGGUCGCCUGAAAAGAUAAAUUGUGAAAAUGUGCUCUCGAGUGGGAAUAUUUGAUAACACCACCAUAUCGCUAUCUCGACAAGCAAACCACUACUUUUUCAUAUCAGUGUGCCAUCAUAUGACCAUAUAAAUGAUAAGACUGCAUGCAACCGCUGCUAGCAACAAUGGCGUGCCUAUGCUGUAUUUACGGUUUUCACAAUGUACCUGCAUGGUAUUUGUCUUAAAUCCAAUAAUUGAAAUGUAAUGUUUUCAAAGGGUACCAUACUUUUUGGGAAUAUUGUCUAUCAUUCACAAUCCUUAUGUAGGACAAACAUGUUUUGCUUUGUUUAUGCAUGAUUCUAUUUAGUAAAAACACUGGGGAAAACGGGCACAUUCAUAAUAUAUAAUUAUGUAUUUUGCUCAUUUUAAGCAUACGGUGGCGCAUUAAUUUCACAUACCCAUCUCGUUUGCGUUUCCUUUUUACGACACUAUUAAUCAUAGCAGACUUCAUAAACAACUAAGACUACCAUACUUUGGUGCUAAUAAUAAUGAACCAGAACCUUAUAUUUUUGAGCCUGAAUUUAAGGAGGAUGAUUUACAAGUUUUAGAGACUUUGCUAAACAGGUCUAGCUUUAGUGAAACUAAGCAUCAUGCAGCUGUAAUGCCAAGUGCUGAACAAGAUGUACAAACUAUGAACAUAAUAAAAAAUAACUUACUGUGCAAUGUCUGCUCUCACUGGGAAACCGACUGAUGGGAUGCUUAUAUCUUCCCAUUUAGAUGAGGAACUAAUCAUAAUCAUUGGGCAGGUAAUAAAAGGUGCGGCAAAAGAGCGUCUUUUCGUGUCUUCCUUGCCAUUUCCAGGUAUAAAUUGGAUGUCAUAGUUGACAAACUUCUGUUAAUGGCUACAACCUUCUACUGUCCAAUCUAGAAUUGGCGUUCAACAACCCAGAGGCGACGCAGCUUAGACUAGUUGGCUCUCUAAUGAGGGGGCUGCUAAAAAGACAAUUCAUGUUUCAAGAUUGUUUAUUGUCAUAUGCACAGUUAAACAUGUUUGACCGUUUGCCGUACAAUGAAAAUCUUACUUUGCUAGUCCACCCUUCAACAAGUCACACGGUACUUGCCUUUAAAAAUAAAAAUGUAUAUACAAGGAACAGUAAGUAACAUAACAUUAUUGCACAUUCUGGUUGUUAGCGAUUAUAAUAUCAGUAAAACUUGGUUAAUAUUCAGGUCACCAGAUGUAAAUUGAGUAUUGUUGGCAUUUUUAGGAUGUUUUUUUUAUAGGGCUUAAUGUGAUCAAUAGAUAUCUCUUGCUAGCCAGCUCAUACUGGCUGUAUUUUAUUAACUAAAAUGUAUUUCAGGAAAAAAGCUCAACAUAUUUAUUCUUGUCUUACAUGGGGUUGUGAAUGGAAGACAAAAUUCCCCCCCUGGAAAAGUGCACUUCCCCUUAAAAAUGUAGUUAAAAUGACCAUGAAAGGCUUUUAAAAUAUAUUGUCAAAACAAAUGUGUACAGUAUAUAUAUCUGUCUUGCUUUUAAAUGUUAAGAUUUUUUGAGGGUGCUAUUUAUAAAUUUAAAACGGGGGAAGAAUAUGGCCAGAAUGUUGUGCACAAGCAUAGUGAGCAGUAUUUUAUAGCGUUUAGCUAGCGAAGGUGUUAGGAAAGCCUACUUGGAAGCAAAGCAGAGUUCAACAAUUUGUUGUAAAAUAAGUUUUCUAUUUCCUUCAUUGUAUUACAUAAUUUUCACCCAGUUACAUUAUCCUGUCGGGGCGUAACUCGUUUAAAUCGACUUUGUGUAGAUGCAUUUCUUCUUUUUAAAUCUGGCAGUAGAUGCAAAAAAACAUUCCUGUGUGGACAUGGCCUAAUAUUAAUUACAACUUCUUUAUACAUCAUACCAAUUAAAUAUGACCUGCGGAUUUGCAUUCAGGAUGGGUGGUAACACAAUAUUGUGAAGACAAAUAACUGCACUGCAAACAUAUUCACAUACAACUGACACGGGAGCACUUUUCUGUACUGUAAUGUUUGUCAGUGCAAAAUUGGUUCAUACUGAGUUUACUGACCUUGAUUUUGUUGUUGGCAAUAAAUAUUUUGACAAACA
Entelurus aequoreus (snake pipefish) is the source of this 2616-nucleotide long non-coding RNA. RefSeq lists it as uncharacterized. The transcript is spliced from 4 exons. The record is from RefSeq and is a predicted model, not a curated record. Lineage: Eukaryota; Metazoa; Chordata; Actinopteri; Syngnathiformes; Syngnathidae.